CCUACGGGAGGCAGCAGUGGGGAAUAUUGGACAAUGGGGGCAACCCUGAUCCAGCCAUGCCGCGUGUGUGAAGAAGGCCCUCGGGUUGUAAAGCACUUUCAGUGAGGAAGAACGCCUGGUGGUUAAUACCCAUCAGGAAAGACAUCACUCACAGAAGAAGCACCGGCUAACUCCGUGCCAGCAGCCGCGGUAAUACGGAGGGUGUGAGCGUUAAUCGGAAUUACUGGGCGUAAAGCGCGCGUAGGUGGCUUGAUAAGCCGGUUGUGAAAGCCCCGGGCUCAACCUGGGAACGGCAUCCGGAACUGUCAAGCUAGAGUGCAGGAGAGGAAGGUAGAAUUCCCGGUGUAGCGGUGAAAUGCGUAGAGAUCGGGAGGAAUACCAGUGGCGAAGGCGGCCUUCUGGACUGACACUGACACUGAGGUGCGAAAGCGUGGGUAGCAAACAGGAUUAGAUACCCGUGUAGUC
RNAcentral lists this ribosomal RNA (465 nucleotides) under Vreelandella stevensii. Its description in RNAcentral is "partial 16S ribosomal RNA". It matches the Rfam family "Bacterial small subunit ribosomal RNA", at positions 338 to 795 of the family's 1533-position model. The record is from RNAcentral. Lineage: Bacteria; Pseudomonadati; Pseudomonadota; Gammaproteobacteria; Oceanospirillales; Halomonadaceae.